Apis mellifera (honey bee) is the source of this 1582-nucleotide long non-coding RNA. RefSeq lists it as uncharacterized. NCBI's taxonomy places the organism in Eukaryota, Metazoa, Arthropoda, Insecta, Hymenoptera, Apidae. The transcript has 4 exons. The record is from RefSeq and is a predicted model, not a curated record.
ACCAAUAUGGCAGUAUAAUAGAUUAGGAGAGAAUAGAACAGGAGUGGGAGAAACAAAAAGAAUAGUAAAACGCAUAGCGGAUAGAUGGUGCCACGUUAUAUUUGUUACCGUUGAAACGCGAGAAGCGAAUACGUGAGUUUCGUAAUAUUUUUGGUUAUGAAAAUUUUAAAUAUUACAGUUGAAGUUGUAAGAUUUAUGUGAAUUCGUUUAAAAUUAUCGAAAGUUGUUCUCUAAAAUUUAAACUUUUAAUCGACUUUCAACGGAUAAAGGAUAAAAGAAUUCUUCGACGAAAAACUUUCGUUUUUUUCAUCAAAAUUAUUCAACUUCUAUGGACAUCUUCCACAAAGUUCAAUCAUCGACUUUAAUUGCGAUAAUUGGUGUGAUUAUUUCAAAGAUCAUCGUUCUUUGUACAAAAAGAUGAGAGGGGGAAAAAAAAGUAUAUCAAUCGAUCAAAAGAUGCAAUUAUCAAGUAAGCAUCCGUUUCAUCUGGAUCGCUCAACCCGCGUCUAAUUGAGGCUAAUUACGAAUGGUCAUUCGACUGACGGCUUUAUUCAUCGAGAAUGUUUGCAAUUUUCAUUUAACGUGAAAAGAAAUGGUUCCUCUCCAAGAUCAUCAUGCUGAAGGUUAUCAUCGGAUGCGGUUGGCAUAUACCGUUACGAUCCAACGAGAAUUCCUCUGUGUACGAUUCUGUUAAUCUUGGAUAAUUGCAUGUGCAGCCUCACAAAACCCUUUGGAAAUUAUUCUCGAACGAGGUACGAAAUAUCUUUAAGAGGAAACUGUUAUAGAAGCUGACCUGUCGAACCGUGUGUUCAGCUGCUGCAUCGUGUGCUUGUUAAUCAUCGUAAAUUAAUGUGUCGUAGAAUAUGAGUGAAAAGAAAUUGGAAAAUUGCACGAAAUAUGUUAGUUGAUGUACAAGAUAAAACAUUACAACAUUGUAUAUAAGAAGCUGAUUCCACAAAAGAAGAAAAUAAUAAAAAUUGAAAAUAUUUCAAACGUAUAUGUAUUUAUCUCGCAAAUGCAAAUACCGUCGUUAACGUGAAACAACACGAAACGAAAAAUCGACAGGUGGUCUUAAUGACGAUAAGCUACCCCAUUUCGGCCCAACACCGCAAAGAUAAUAAAAGCUCUUCCGUAUAUACAAAGUAAGUACGGUAGCCAGGACGAAUCGCAUCACGUCGACGACUUUGUAAUUUUCGAGGAAGAUAGAAAAGGAAAGCUGCAUGGAUGCAUUUUGCACGAAAGAGAAAGUGGUUCGCCAGAAUCGAACGUAGAAGGCCGGCUAUAAGUUCCGGUGGAUUUAGAUUACGAUCGAAACGGUAUCCGUUUAAUUGGAGGAGAGCUAAUUUAGAAGAAUACGCGAGGGAAUUCAGUAAUGAAUCCGACUAUCGAUAGAUUCCUUGCCCGUGUAUGGCCGACUUCUCAAUGGGAGAAAGUUAUCAAGAAGUGCUCGCUUGGCCUUCCGCGUUAUAAAGGUUCGAAUAGCGAAUGCUACGUUGGACAAAUAUCAAAAUCGCUCUAAAGGAAUUUAUUUAUACCUUUCCUUGUAAGAAGAAGAAAGUAAACCGGAAUAUUUUAAACACUU